ACUCCUACGGGAGGCAUCAGUGGGGAAUAUUGCACAAUGGGCGCAAGCCUGAUGCAGCCAUGCCGCGUGUAUGAAGAAGGCCUUCGGGUUGUAAAGUACUUUCAGCAGUGAGGAAGGUGGGUAUGUUAAUAGCAUACUCAUUUGACGUUAGCUGCAGAAGAAGCACCGGCUAACUACGUGCCAGCAGCCGCGGUAAUACGUAGGGUGCAAGCGUUGUCCGGAAUUAUUGGGCGUAAAGAGCUCGUAGGCGGUUUGUCGCGUCUGCUGUGAAAACCUGGGGCUUAACCCUGGGCCUGCAGUGGGUACGGGCAGACUAGAGUGCAGUAGGGGAGACUGGAAUUCCUGGUGUAGCGGUGGAAUGCGCAGAUAUCAGGAGGAACACCGGUGGCGAAGGCGGGUCUCUGGGCUGUAACUGACGCUGAGGAGCGAAAGCAUGGGGAGCGAACAGGAUUAGAUACCCUGGUAGCUACGAGU
This 474-nucleotide ribosomal RNA is filed under the name uncultured bacterium. Its description in RNAcentral is "bacterial SSU rRNA". It matches the Rfam family "Bacterial small subunit ribosomal RNA", at positions 335 to 800 of the family's 1533-position model. The record is from RNAcentral.